RNAcentral lists this ribosomal RNA (440 nucleotides) under Escherichia coli. RNAcentral describes it as "partial 23S ribosomal RNA". It matches the Rfam family "Bacterial large subunit ribosomal RNA", at positions 2251 to 2690 of the family's 2925-position model. The record is from RNAcentral. Lineage: Bacteria; Pseudomonadati; Pseudomonadota; Gammaproteobacteria; Enterobacterales; Enterobacteriaceae.
ACAGUGUCUGGUGGGUAGUUUGACUGGGGCGGUCUCCUCCUAAAGAGUAACGGAGGAGCACGAAGGUUGGCUAAUCCUGGUCGGACAUCAGGAGGUUAGUGCAAUGGCAUAAGCCAGCUUGACUGCGAGCGUGACGGCGCGAGCAGGUGCGAAAGCAGGUCAUAGUGAUCCGGUGGUUCUGAAUGGAAGGGCCAUCGCUCAACGGAUAAAAGGUACUCCGGGGAUAACAGGCUGAUACCGCCCAAGAGUUCAUAUCGACGGCGGUGUUUGGCACCUCGAUGUCGGCUCAUCACAUCCUGGGGCUGAAGUAGGUCCCAAGGGUAUGGCUGUUCGCCAUUUAAAGUGGUACGCGAGCUGGGUUUAGAACGUCGUGAGACAGUUCGGUCCCUAUCUGCCGUGGGCGCUGGAGAACUGAGGGGGGCUGCUCCUAGUACGAGAGG